Molecule: ribosomal RNA, 390 nt
Filed under: uncultured bacterium
Lineage: Bacteria
Description: partial 16S ribosomal RNA
Rfam family: Bacterial small subunit ribosomal RNA
Source: RNAcentral
AUACGGAGGAUCCGAGCGUUAUCCGGAUUUAUUGGGUUUAAAGGGAGCGUAGGCGGACGCUUAAGUCAGUUGUGAAAGUUUGCGGCUCAACCGUAAAAUUGCAGUUGAUACUGGGUGUCUUGAGUACAGUAGAGGCAGGCGGAAUUCGGGGGGUAGCGGUGAAAUGCUUAGAGAUCACGAAGAAAUCCGAUUGCGAAGGCAGCCUGCUGGACUGUAACUGACGCUGAUGCUCGAAAGUGUGGGUAUCAAACAGGAUUAGAUACCCUGGUAGUCCACACAGGAAACGAUGAAUACUCGCUGUUUGCGAUAUACAGUAAGCGGCCAAGCGAAAGCGUUAAGUAUUCCACCUGGGGAGUACGCCGGCAACGGUGAAACUCAAAUGAAUUGACG